GACGAACGCUGGCGGCGUGCUUAACACAUGCAAGUCGAACGGAAAGGCCCUGCUUUUGUGGGGUGCUCGAGUGGCGAACGGGUGAGUAACACGUGAGUAACCUGCCCUUGACUUUGGGAUAACUUCAGGAAACUGGGGCUAAUACCGGAUAGGAGCUCCUGCUGCAUGGUGGGGGUUGGAAAGUUUCGGCGGUUGGGGAUGGACUCGCGGCUUAUCAGCUUGUUGGUGGGGUAGUGGCUUACCAAGGCUUUGACGGGUAGCCGGCCUGAGAGGGUGACCGGCCACAUUGGGACUGAGGUACGGCACAGACUCCUACGGGAGGCAGCAGUGGGGAAUAUUGCACAAUGGACGGAAGCCUGAUGCAGCAACGCCGCGUGCGGGAUAACCGCCUUCGGGUUGUAAACCGCUUUCGCCUGUGACGAAGCGUGAGUGACGGUAAUGGGUAAAGAAGCACCGGCUAAAUACGUG
This 468-nucleotide ribosomal RNA is filed under the name uncultured bacterium. RNAcentral describes it as "partial 16S ribosomal RNA". It matches the Rfam family "Bacterial small subunit ribosomal RNA", at positions 28 to 507 of the family's 1533-position model. The record is from RNAcentral.